GUGGACGUAGCUCAGUUGGUAGAGCGCAGGAUUGUGAUUCCUGUGGUCGAGGGUUCGAUUCCCUUCGUCCACCCCA
This 76-nucleotide transfer RNA is filed under the name Pseudomonas putida. RNAcentral describes it as "tRNA-His". It matches the Rfam family "tRNA". From Rfam's summary of the family: Transfer RNA (tRNA) molecules are approximately 80 nucleotides in length. Their secondary structure includes four short double-helical elements and three loops (D, anti-codon, and T loops). The record is from RNAcentral. Lineage: Bacteria; Pseudomonadati; Pseudomonadota; Gammaproteobacteria; Pseudomonadales; Pseudomonadaceae. RNAcentral also lists the same sequence under 10 other names.